RNAcentral lists this transfer RNA (75 nucleotides) under Acidobacteriota bacterium. RNAcentral describes it as "Acidobacteria bacterium (hot springs metagenome) tRNA-Cys". It matches the Rfam family "tRNA". From Rfam's summary of the family: Transfer RNA (tRNA) molecules are approximately 80 nucleotides in length. Their secondary structure includes four short double-helical elements and three loops (D, anti-codon, and T loops). The record is from RNAcentral. Lineage: Bacteria; Pseudomonadati; Acidobacteriota.
GGCGCGGUAGCCAAACGGGAAGGCCGAGGCUCGCAAAGCCUCUAUUCGCCGGUUCGACUCCGGCCCGCGCCUCCA